RNAcentral lists this long non-coding RNA (3530 nucleotides) under Triticum aestivum (bread wheat). RNAcentral describes it as "long non-coding RNA (TAES_LNC012099)". Lineage: Eukaryota; Viridiplantae; Streptophyta; Magnoliopsida; Poales; Poaceae. The record is from RNAcentral.
ACAAUGUUUAUGUACCACAAAGAGAUUGGAACAUAAAAUCCUCUUUAUCAGUAAAUAUUUCUGCAAAAUCACUGGUCUUGAAAAUCUAUCUCCUUUACUUAUACAACGGAAAAUUUAUUUUAUAAGGUGAUGAAAGGUAAUAAAAAUAGUGAAUCUUCAUAAAUUUGUUUUAUACCAUUGUGACAAGCGGGGCCGACGACCAAAGUCUCAAGUGCGAGCGCAAUGUACUCCCCUGUACAACAAGCACAUAAAUCUUAAUCGUCGUCCAUAGCCCAACCAAACCAUGAUUUAUCUGUAACAAUAAUAUAAUAUCAUUCACUUAGGUUUACAUUUGAACUCUCCAUUAUGCAGGAAGACAACAUGAAAAGAAAACGUGGGCCACAUAGCAAGGAAUGUGAGAAACCUGCCAAGGUCGUUAAAACAAAUCAAAUAUGCACUCCAACAAGGUGAUCCAUUACUAAUAUUGACUAUUUUAUAUGUGCUAUACUAGUAAUUUUUAAAAAACAAAGCAAUUCCAGUUAGGCACGCUGAGGUUCCUAAUUGUGUAGCUUCCACGAGAAAAACUAUAUUUUAAUUUUUAUCUUAUUGAUGCAAAUCCAGAGAAUCAGCAAAGAUCACAAGAUCGGAAAGGGUAAUGAAACUUCAAGAAAAGAAAAACAGACAAUCUUCAAUGAUACAUGGAGGUCUGCCAGACUCCGCGGACACACACAAAGGACAACCUUUGCUCCAUGUGAAGUAAGAAAAUCUUCACGAACUUUCUCUCUUAUGCUGUUACGCAUCUUAUCAUCCAUUUGGUUUAAUUAUAAUUCUCAAUUCAAAUGCUAAAAUUUAACAUUAAUGAUGCACAUCAUACAGCAAGAAACAUUAUGUACCUUUCUUAUGCUAUCCACAUCUACUCUGCUAUUUAUGUGCUGAAAUCUUCAAGCGCACUAAUUUAGAAUGGUCCAUCAAAUCUCAAAAAAUGAUAUACGUAUCAAUGAACUAUAGCCAACGCAAAAAAAUGUUAAAGUAACACAAGGAGUAAUAAAUUCAUUCUGCCAGACAAAAAAUAAUCUGUUAUUUAUACUAAUUAGUAUUUAUGUUUAUGCAGGGGAAGUAACUCAACAGAAAAAGCAAAAGAGGCAAGACUACAUAGGAAAAGAAUAAUGCAAACCAAGAGGCUUGCACAACCAUCGACAAAAGAAGGAGAAAUGAUUGGUCAGGCUGGUAAUACUAUGAGGUAAGGAACAAGAAAUUACAAUCAAGCUCUAAAAUUUGGAGUUUCAUAAAUCCGAUAUUUUCUGCUAUGUACGUGUACAGCUCAAAAAGUAAUAAAAUGUCUACUACAUCGAAAUCGGUGAGAAAGAAACAAAGACAACAUUUGUAAGUUAUAUCAACUUUUUAUAGUAUCAACAACACCAGACAUUAAUAAUAUUUCAAUUUAUGCUAAAUCCAAAACUUGAACAGGCAAUCAGAGAGGACUCAUAUGGAAAAUUGGAACUUUGGAAAACCCAAAUGCAAGUGUGAAUGACGCGGUGCAAUUUUCUGGUACGAAGAAAGAACUUCAGGUAGAGCGAAAAGCAUGCCAUCUUUUGGACUAUGCUGCCAACAUGGCAAGGUUGAGUUGCCACCAUUAAGAGAGCCACCGACUUACCUAGCGAAAUUGCUAAGGAAAGACAACGAAAAGAUGUCAAAACAUUGCUUGCAGAAUAUCAGAUUGUACAACUCCAUGUUCGCUUUCACAACAAUGGGAGGAAAAGUAGACAAAGAAAUAAACAAUGGCAAUGGGCCAUAUGUUUUUAGAAUGAAUGGGCAGAACUACCACAGAAUAGGUACUCUAUUGCCUGAAGGUAAAGAUAAACCACGUUGGGCACAACUGUACAUCUAUGACACUGAAAAUGAGGUAAGAAACAGGAUUAAUGCUUCGACAAGGGAAGAUAAAAGGGAGUCAAUAGAUCCUCACAUCGUAGAGGGCCUUAAAAAUAUGUUUGAUCAAGAUAACAUACUUGCAAAAAAAUUCAGAAUGGCAAGGGACAGAUUCGAAGAAGGUGACUAUCAAAACGUGAGAUUAAAACUAAUCAAUAAGCGACAAUCAGAUGGAAGACGAAGUGACAUGCCAUCUGCAUGGGAAGUUGCAGCCUUGAUUGUCAAUGAUGCCACGGAAAGUAGAAAAGGACGGGAUAUCAUUGUUGAGUACAAAAACAUGAAGCCAAGAAGAAUAUCAGAGAACCAUCCAAAAUUCAUGGCUAUGCAGUAUCCACUAUUAUUCCCCUAUGGAGAAGAUGGGUACAGACAAAAUAUACCUUACAUAUUAAAACAAGGUGCAAAAUGUAAGAGAAAGCAUGUAACAAUGUUGGAAUACUAUGCAUAUUGUCUACAACAACGUACUAACCAAUCGAUGCACUUGCUGAUGUGUGAAAAGCUUACAUUGCAGUUCAUUGUGGACGCCCUUGCAUGCAUUUUGCAGUACAGACUGGACUGGAUCAAAAAUCAUCAAGGAAACCUAAGAACGGAAUUAUAUGCUGGCUUACAGGAUGCAAUAGAAAGAGGAGAUACAAGGGCUGACCAAGUAGGAAAAAGGAUACUGCUGCCAUCCACUGUCACAGAUAGUCCUAGAUACAAAGCACAAAACUUCCAAGAUGCUAUGGCAAUAUGUCGGUGGGCUGGAUACCCAGACCUAUUUGUGACAUUCACGUGCAACGCAGCUUGGCCGGAGAUUGAGGCUAUGCUACACGAAGUGGCCCAAACAGCAUACGAAAGGCCUGAUAUUGUUGAUCGAGUAUUCCACAUAAAGCUCAAGGAGUUCAUGAGAGAUAUAAGAGAAAGGGAAUACUUCGGAAAAACACUCGCAAGUAAUAUAUCAUCCUGAAUUUAUCAAACAUAUUAUUUAACUGCAUGAACUAACUGUUAUUUUAUAAAAUUGCAGUUAUAUACACAAUAGAGUUUCAAAAAAGAGGCCUCCCACAUGCCCACAUAGUCAUAUUCCUCGACAAAAAGGAAAAGAAACACAAGUAUCCAGAGCCAUCAGAGGUAGAUAGAGUAACUUGCGCAGAGAUACCAGACAAGGAAAUUGACCCGGAAGGAUAUGCAGCUGUCGAAAACUACAUGAUGCACGGGCUAUGUGGUGCAGCAAACACAAAGUCACCAUGCAUGGUCGACAGCAGAUGCAUAAGAAAGUUCCCAAAAAAUACAACAACAAUACCACUAUCGAUAAAGAUGGAUACCCAGUAUAUAGAAGACGAGACGAUGGAAGAUUCAUACAGAAAGGGGAAGUAAAGUUGGAUAACAGAUACGUAGUCCCAUACAACAGAAAUCUGCUGGUGAAAUAUCAAGCACAUAUAAAUGUCGAGGUGUGCAACAGAUCUUUAUCCAUAAAAUACCUUUUUAAAUACAUAAAUAAAGGUGAUGACCAAGCAACAAUACUAAUAGAAAACGAUGAGAUAAAAAGGUACCUAGAAUGCACAUAUAUAACAGGGAAUGAUGCGUGUUGGAGAAUAUUUCAGUUCGAAAUGCACUUCAGAGAUCCCUGCGUCGAAAGGUUGCCUUUCCAC